UUACCUGGGCUUCCCUCUUGUUUCCAGUUGAUCUACCCUGCUGCUACUGCUGCUGCUGCUUCCUUUGCUGAUAGCAGUACCAACAUUUCCUAGCUUCCACUCUAAGAACCAGUGACUUUCCAGGAACUUUCUAGAUUUUCAGAACCAGACUGGGAUUGCUGAGAUACCCAGCCUUGUGCAUUGAGCAACUGCCAUGUUGAGUGUCCCCAGUGAGAGACAGUCACCGUAGGACUGUUCCAACUGCUGAGGCUCCUAGCAUUAAGGACUAAGCUAUUGCUGGCUUCUCAACACUCAGGCCAGCUGAAUCAGAAACUUCAGCACAACAGAUAAAGUAAAGCCAAAAUAGCCUAUGCAGAUAAUGCUGGUUUUCUUAAAGACCUCUCCAAUAAGGAUAUUAAAAUGACAAGUAAUUGUGUUUACUGAACUCCAGAAUGUUUUAAAUGGCUGUGAAGCAAAGCACCUCAAGGAACUGGAAUUGCCUCUAGGAAGGAGUCUCAUGCUGGCAGAAGGAAAAGACUGAAGCCUGGUGCCAGCCAGAGGGAGAACAUGAUCCCAGAAAGAGAUUUCACAGUGCUGAGAACUUGGCAGACAACUUUGCAGAAUGAGACUGAAGCCCAGACAUUAAUGGGCCGAUGAUGGGCAGGGCCACUUUGACCAGGACUGCUGAGAUAUGCAUAACUUUGGCUUCUUUUUGAACUUUAACCUGACGCUGAAGAUGAUAUUGGGGGUCACUAGAUCUCUGUCCCUCUUCCCAAUGUUACCAUCUUCUUGCCACUAUUUGACUCUUUUUAAUUGGCUUAUCAAGGACAGGUGACUGAACCUGGCAUGUUAGGGUUGCCAUCAAGGCAGCAAUAGUAGCAUUUUGGAUAGUGUAUUUUUCUAAUUUCUUGCAUUUCUGUCUUGUUUCUCUAUAAGCUCACCAGAUUAAAUUUUGUUCUGUGGACUGCCUGCUCAUAUCCAUUUCCAAUUUUUCCAUUGAGUUUUCAUGCCUUAUGUAAGAAAGCUUUUAUACAUUCCCCACAAUUUUUACUCAUUAUCACUUCCCCCCUAAUAAUUGUCUAGGAAAGAUGUUUAUCAGUCACCUGGUAUUCUUUAGCCCAACACACACACUAGCUGCCCCCAGCAACAUCCUACCCAGGGCCCGAGAAUAUCCAUUCUCCUUCCCCUUUCCCCCUUUUUGCCCUUUGACCAUUCACUCUGGUCUUUGCAGUUCCUUUUCCAAACAAAGCCUAUGCUGUCCAUUAAGUUAUUUGUUCCUUUGUCAGUCUGUCCUCCUUUGCUCAUGUGGUGUGGUGAGGUAGAGAGGGCAAACACAGUGGGCUCAGGACCUCACACUUCUGUGGUCUCCUUAGACUUCAACCCAGGGAAGUCUGUUACAGAUGUAACAGCUGCCUAGACUGGAGGGAAGGCAGGCAGCCUGUGUUCUCUGCUUGCUGAUUUUUCUAGGCACUUAAUGUACUACAUUGAAUCCCAUGGAAAUAUUUGCAAAAAGCCUCUGUCGUAAGAUAACUUAAUUAAACAUUACUUACAAGAGUUUAA
Mesocricetus auratus (golden hamster) is the source of this 1539-nucleotide long non-coding RNA. RefSeq lists it as uncharacterized. NCBI's taxonomy places the organism in Eukaryota, Metazoa, Chordata, Mammalia, Rodentia, Cricetidae. The record is from RefSeq and is a predicted model, not a curated record. The transcript has 3 exons.